UCUCCGUUGGUGAACCAGCGGAGGGAUCAUUACCGAGUUUACAACUCCCAAACCUCUGUGAACAUACCAUUUGUUGCCUCGGCGGUGCCUGCUUCGGCAGCCCGCCAGAGGACCCAAACCCUUGAUUUUAUACAGUAUCUUCUGAGUAAAUGAUUAAAUAAAUCAAAACUUUCAACAACGGAUCUCUUGGUUCUG
This 195-nucleotide unclassified non-coding RNA is filed under the name plant metagenome. RNAcentral describes it as "partial contains small subunit ribosomal RNA, internal transcribed spacer 1, and 5.8S ribosomal RNA". The record is from RNAcentral.